Molecule: ribosomal RNA, 253 nt
Filed under: uncultured bacterium
Lineage: Bacteria
Description: partial 16S ribosomal RNA
Rfam family: Bacterial small subunit ribosomal RNA
Source: RNAcentral
UACGUAGGGGGCAAGCGUUGUCCGGAUUUAUUGGGCGUAAAGAGCGUGUAGGCGGUCAGGUAGGUCCGUUGUGAAAACUCGAGGCUCAACCUCGAGCUGUCGAUGGAAACCAUCUGGCUAGAGUCCGGAAGAGGAGAGUGGAAUUCCUGGUGUAGCGGUGAAAUGCGCAGAUAUCAGGAAGAACACCCGUGGCGAAGGCGGCUCUCUGGGACGGUACUGACGCUGAGACGCGAAAGCGUGGGGAGCGAACAGG